GACGAACGCUGGCGGCGUGCUUAACACAUGCAAGUCGAACGGAAAGGCCUUUUCGGAGGUACUCGAGUGGCGAACGGGUGAGUAACACGUGGGUGAUCUGCCCUGCACUCUGGGAUAAGCCUGGGAAACUGGGUCUAAUACCGGAUAGGACCGCACUUUAGUGUGUGUGGUGGAAAGUUUUUUCGGUGUAGGAUGAGCCCGCGGCCUAUCAGCUUGUUGGUGGGGUAAUGGCCUACCAAGGCGGCGACGGGUAGCCGGACUGGGAGGUUGGUCGGCCACAUUGGGACUGAGAUACGGCCCAGACUCCCACGGGAGGCAGCAGUGGGGAAUAUUGUACAAUGGGCGCAAGCCUGAUGCAGCGACGCCGCGUGGGGGAUGACGGCCUUCGGGUUGUAAACUCCUUUCGCCAGGGACGAAGCGUUUUGUGACGGUACCUGGAGAAGAAGCACCGGCUAACUACGUG
This 463-nucleotide ribosomal RNA is filed under the name uncultured bacterium. RNAcentral describes it as "partial 16S ribosomal RNA". It matches the Rfam family "Bacterial small subunit ribosomal RNA", at positions 28 to 507 of the family's 1533-position model. The record is from RNAcentral.